AAUUAGGAGGCAAUUUCAGUAUUGUUGGGACCCAACAACACAAUCCUCUGUAACCCCAAAAGCUAAAUGACAGCUCAAAGGAAAGCAAAGCAACCAAUGAGUGGAUAACAGAGAGGGACUCACUGCUUCUUCAGACAGAAUCAUCUGGGGUGGUCCAUGACCAUUUUUGUUCGAGGGGGCUUAAUUUGUCCCUUUGUUUUUAUUCUUGGUUUUUAUUAAAGGCUACUACUAUCUCUUUGGCAAUCAGAGAGUUACUAUCAGUUUCCUCAAGAUUAGGAUCAUGGAUUAAUGGCGCUACGGUGUCAGCAAUAGUAACCAGAAAGGUAUAUAAUGUUAUGGAGGAUUAAAAAAAAUAAAGAGAAGAAAAGAGACUGAGACUCGGUGACAAGAGGUGGCCCAGUGAAGAUUGUGCACCCAUAUUAGAAAUCUCGGGUGUAGCAGUAGUAGGGUCAGAAAGAGAUGAUGAUGAGUUCCAGAGUUUGACCAGUCCAGUUUUGAACAGUGAAGAAAGAAGUUGGGUUCUUCUCAACUCAUUGGUGCGGUGGUGGGCAUUGCAGAAAGCAGAAUGAGGUGUGAACUGAAAACAGAGUUGGUGGUAAUGGUUGGUCUCUAGAAGCAGAGGAGAAGCGACCAGAGAGCACUAGCGGGAGAGUCGUGGGGCAUAGCUUGUCCCAAGCCAUCUUGGUCCCAAGAUAUAUAAAAUAUGCCUUGGAACCAUUUGUCAGCCAAAGGGUCGAAGGGACGGCUGUGGUGGUGUUGGAAGUGGACUGGUCCACGACUGUGACCCCUGUGCUAACUUGUCAGCUUAAACUCUAAUUGGUGCGUCCUUCCCACCUUCACGUGGCUUUGUUCCCAUUAACGUAUAAAGUGUGUUUGUGUCUACCUCGCCUCGAUUCCUAUCGUUUAGAAGAUAUUAUUAUAUGAUUCUGUUUCUCACAAAGAAAAGAGACUAGUAGUUGGAUCCGUGUCUUGCUACUAUACUGCCUUUGCAUUAUAUUUUGUGAAAAAAAUAUAUAUAUAUAUCACGA
Camelina sativa (false flax) is the source of this 1028-nucleotide long non-coding RNA. RefSeq lists it as uncharacterized. NCBI's taxonomy places the organism in Eukaryota, Viridiplantae, Streptophyta, Magnoliopsida, Brassicales, Brassicaceae. The record is from RefSeq and is a predicted model, not a curated record.